UUGGCUGGUGGUUGGUAAUCCUUAUGUUUGAGCUUAUUACCUUUGUUAAGCUAUCACUCGGCUGAUACUAGGUAAUGUCCUCUCCUAACAGAGUCAAGGUUUUUCCCAUAUUAAUGAUUGGUUUUCCUCGGCGAAGUAUUUCUUUGUAAAGCUUUCCCUGUUGGGUCUUUAGUGCGUUUUCUAACCAUGCAUCUGUUCUUUUUUAGCUUUUCCUUUUCCCCCUGUGGAAUUUUGUCUGUCCCUGCCUGGGUAUCCCUUUGGAAUAUGUCAUUCCUAUGCGGGAUUUCAGUCUCCUCUCAUCUCUAGCAGUUCUUUGUCUCUCG
This 323-nucleotide long non-coding RNA is filed under the name Lathyrus oleraceus (garden pea). RNAcentral's name for it is "Pisum sativum (pea) long non-coding RNA (PSAT_LNC030032)". The record is from RNAcentral. Lineage: Eukaryota; Viridiplantae; Streptophyta; Magnoliopsida; Fabales; Fabaceae.